CCUACGGGAGGCAGCAGUGGGGAAUCCUGCGCAAUGGGGGAAACCCUGACGCAGCAACGCCGCGUGGAGGAUGAAGCCCUUUGGGGCGUAAACUCCUUUCGACCGGGACGAUAAUGACAGUACCGGUGGAAGAAGCACCGGCUAACUCUGUGCCAGCAGCCGCGGUAAU
Molecule: ribosomal RNA, 169 nt
Filed under: uncultured bacterium
Lineage: Bacteria
Description: partial 16S ribosomal RNA
Rfam family: Bacterial small subunit ribosomal RNA
Source: RNAcentral